RNAcentral lists this ribosomal RNA (474 nucleotides) under uncultured bacterium. RNAcentral describes it as "bacterial SSU rRNA". It matches the Rfam family "Bacterial small subunit ribosomal RNA", at positions 43 to 524 of the family's 1533-position model. The record is from RNAcentral.
CAGGCCUAACACAUGCAAGUCGAACGGAAGCCUUCGGGCUUUAGUGGCAAACGGGUGCGUAACGCGUAAGCAACCUGCCCCUGACUGGGGGAUAGCCCGGCGAAAGCGGGGGUAAGCCCGCACGGUCCCUUUCUCUCACCUGGGAGCAAGGGUAAAGAUUUAUCGGUUAGGGAGGGGCUUGCGUCUGAUUAGCUAGUUGGCAGGGUAACGGCCUACCAAGGCGAUGAUCAGUAGGGGUUCUGAGAGGAUUGGCCCCCACAUGGGUACUGAGAGACGGACCCAACUCCUACGGGAGGCAGCAGUAGGGAAUAUUGGGCAAUGGAGGCAACUCUGACCCAGCCAUGCCGCGUGCAGGAUGAAGGCGCUCAGCGUUGUAAACUGCUUUUACUCAUGAAGAACUGUGGGGAUGCGUCCUUACUUGACGGUAAUGAGGGAAUAAGCACCGGCUAACUCCGUGCCAGCAGCCGCGGUAAU